Long non-coding RNA from Osmia bicornis bicornis, 1698 nucleotides. RefSeq lists it as uncharacterized. Lineage: Eukaryota; Metazoa; Arthropoda; Insecta; Hymenoptera; Megachilidae. The transcript has 3 exons. The record is from RefSeq and is a predicted model, not a curated record.
UGUUCGUUUCGAAAUUCGUCAACGUCUUAAUCACGUCACGAUUUUGUCAAAAUUUGACAGUGGCGUAUCUGUCGGUAAGUACAACUGACAAGGUUAUUCGUUUAAAAUUUAAGAUUUCUGUGUUUCUCGGAAAUUUCGUAUCCGUUAGAGGCUUUUAAGAUCAUUAUCAGUUUGAAUUAAUAUUGAUUAAACGAUCUAUCUUUCGGGAAUAAACAAUAUUGAUAAAGUAGGUAUUCAACACACAAAACGAGAAUGUUCCUUAAUAAAAAAAAAAAAAAUCGAAUAAAAAUAUUUAAGGAAUAACAUAACAAAAUUGACAUCUUUUUGUGCACAAAAAUCUUGAGUAAUCAAAAUCUGUAAUAACUUGUCUUAGAAGAUUUCUUACUUAAAGAAAUAAAUAAAAUUAUGAGUAAUAGUAGCUGCUACAUAAACCGUACCAAGGAUUACCCGAAAAUAUAGUGAGUGCAAAAAGAGAACCGAGGAUAUAACAUGCCCCUUGUAACAAAAUGAUUACUCGUGUAACGAAAUCGUAAAAUUAAAAUACUCGUGCAAGUAAAUCGUGUGUAAGAGAAGUAAACGAAAAUACGUGCACGUGGAAAGUAUGUACGUGCGUAAUGUAUAUGGGUACAAAGAAAAAAAGAAAUCUUAAAUAAGAAACGAAAAACAAAAGGAAAAAGAAACGGGAUCGCGGAGACGAAGGUUGGUUCGGUUUACUUUUUGGUUAAGAAGCGGGAAAAGAGGGAGAUUGUACUGUCCUGCGAUAGAUCAAGUUCCAAACAACGCAACCAUCCUCCGUAUAGUUUUACCAUGCAUCCGUUUAUAGUUUUCUUUACGUGCUAUACGCGUGUAUGUGUUACACAUACACAUUUUAUUGCUCGAUUCGUGCUGUGAUACAUCCUGAUGCAAAAAUUCGUGCAAAAUUAUUGAUAAAUGUAUAAUAUGCAUUAAAGUGAUUUGAUUUAACACAAAUCUGUCAACAGGUGGAGCUCUCUGGGGUAUCCAACUCGCUUGUUAUCGGAAGAGCAAAGUCUUAUAUUUAUUUUAAUGUCUUACAACGUAUCAAUCAUUGAAAAUGUAAUAAAAUUGUUUAUAUAAAAAUUCUACAAUAUGAAAAGUUAAAUUUACAAUAUGAAAAGUCAAAUAUGUAUACGGACGAAAACAAAUUUUUGUUCGCCACGUUCUGAUUGGUCGUUGCUUGAAUACCAUGGCAACGGGACGAGAGUGGGGGAAGUGAUUUGGCGCCGAGAGCUCGCGUCGACAGGUCUGAUUUAAUCGGUUAAGUAAAAUACUAUUUUGUUUGAGAAACAAUUUUCAAUUAUUUGGUAAGUAGUUAAAAAUAGUAUUUAUAAACGUUUACUUCUUUCAAGCUGUUACCGAGACACCAAACGAGGAGUGUUAGUGAAAACAAGGCGUGCUAAGUGUCGAAUGUAAAUAUCGAUGAUUCCGGAAGUGCUUGGUAGAGACGCGAUAGAUGAGUUGAACUGGAAUUCGUUCGAAGUGGAAUGAGGAUUUACAGAAGAAGAAUAAUCAGAGAAGAGAAGAGUGAAAGCAAACCGGGUCCGGCGACGGUGACAGACGAUACUUUUAACGGUAUCCAUUUUUACUAAUGGGCAAGGUAAGAAUCUGGUCUGGCUCGAAUGAAGCAUUCGUACCUGCGUCUAAAAUGAUGUCCCCGACGUCACCGUCUCUAUCACCGUC